AUGAUUUCAAUUUAGACUGCUCUGUUUGAUGCCAUGUGGCAUGGUGGGCAUUUGUUACCAGAACAGGAUACCAGUUGGUCAUCAUUUUGUAAUAAAGAUUAGCAAAUCUGGUCUGUUCUGGUGCUCGCAGAGUCUGCUUGUCAAAUAUGUCAACACUUGCAAUAAUAAAUACAAAUUAAAUGCUAAGUUCUAUCUGUGUCUGUCCACACAUCCAAAUAUGGGAGGGUGGGCAGGAUAGUAUGAAAAGCCAGGUUGAGAGAGAGGCUUGGGAGAGUUGAAUGGACCGUUGAGAUGUAAAGAGAGAAGGAUAUGAGAGACUUAUUCAUUGUGUAUAUAUUUAUUCUCGUAGUGUGUAAAUAAAAUGUAGAGUACA
This is a long non-coding RNA of Dreissena polymorpha, 373 nucleotides long. RefSeq lists it as uncharacterized. The record is from RefSeq and is a predicted model, not a curated record. The transcript is spliced from 2 exons. NCBI's taxonomy places the organism in Eukaryota, Metazoa, Mollusca, Bivalvia, Myida, Dreissenidae.